Camelus ferus (Wild Bactrian camel) is the source of this 74-nucleotide non-coding RNA. The record is from Rfam. NCBI's taxonomy places the organism in Eukaryota, Metazoa, Chordata, Mammalia, Artiodactyla, Camelidae.
GGAAGGGUACAGCUCAGUGGUAGAGCACAUGCCUAGCAUGCAUGCAGUCCUGGGUUCAAUCUCCAGUACCUCCA